AUGCCCCCGCCGCCGCCGGCCAUCUUCGGGUCGCAGAGCUCGUUCACGUACGAGGAGCUGGCGUCGGCCACGGGCGGGUUCUCCAAGGCGAACCUGCUGGGGCAGGGCGGGUUCGGGUACGUGUACAAGGGCGUGCUGCCGGGCAGCGGCAAGGAGGUGGCGGUGAAGCAGCUCAAGGCCGGCAGCGGGCAGGGCGAGCGCGAGUUCCAGGCGGAGGUGGAGAUCAUCAGCCGCGUCCACCACCGCCACCUCGUCUCCCUCGUCGGCUACUGCAUCGCCGGCGCCUCCCAGCGCCUGCUCGUCUACGAGUUCGUCGCCAACGACACCCUCGAGCGCCACCUCCACGGGAAGGACCUGCCGGUCAUGGACUGGCCCAAGAGGCUCGCCAUCGCGCUCGGCUCCGCCAAGGGCCUGGCGUACCUGCACGAAGACUGCAAUCCAAGGAUCAUCCACCGUGACAUCAAGGCGGCCAACAUUCUCUUGGACGAAAAUUUCGAGGCCAAGGUCGCGGAUUUCGGGCUCGCCAAGUUGACGACGGACAACAACACCCACGUCUCCACGCGCGUCAUGGGAACGUUCGGGUACCUGGCGCCGGAGUACGCCUCCAGCGGCAAGCUGACGGACAAGUCGGACGUCUUCUCCUUCGGCGUCAUGAUGCUCGAGCUCAUCACCGGCCGGCGGCCCGUCGACCCCAGCAACUACAUGGAGGACAGCCUGGUGGACUGGGCGAGGCCGCUCCUGGCGCGCGCGCUGUCGGAGGGCGGCAGCUUCGACGAGGUGGUCGACCAGCGCCUGGAGAACAAGUACGACCGGCAGGAGAUGGAGCGCAUGGCCGCCAGCGCCGCCGCCGCCGUCCGGCACUCCGCCAAGCGCCGCCCCAAGAUGAAACAGAUCGUUCGCGCGCUGGAGGGCGACGCGUCGCUGGACGACCUGAACGAAGGGAUGAAGCCAGGGCAGAGCAUGAUAUACAGCUCCGACGAGUCCGGGAGCUACGCGGCCAACAUUAACAGGCUUUGGCAGGUCGCGUUCGAGAGUAGCGAGGAGUACACCAACGAGUACAGCGGGACGGGGGAGUCGGGGGAGACAACACAACGGCAUCACUAA
This 1104-nucleotide ribosomal RNA is filed under the name Triticum aestivum (bread wheat). Its description in RNAcentral is "partial small subunit ribosomal RNA". The record is from RNAcentral. Lineage: Eukaryota; Viridiplantae; Streptophyta; Magnoliopsida; Poales; Poaceae.